UACGUAGGGUGCAAGCGUUGUCCGGAAUUAUUGGGCGUAAAGAGCUCGUAGGCGGCUUGUCACGUCGGGUGUGAAAGCCCGGGGCUUAACUUGGGAAUUGCGGUUGAAACUGGCGGACUAGAAUCUGGCAGAGGGGGGUGGAAUUCCACGUGUAGCAGUGAAAUGCGUAGAGAUGUGGAGGAACACCGAUGGCGAAGGCAGCCCCCUGGGCUGAGAUUGACGCUCAGGCACGAAAGCGUGGGGAGCAAACAGG
This 253-nucleotide ribosomal RNA is filed under the name uncultured bacterium. RNAcentral describes it as "partial 16S ribosomal RNA". It matches the Rfam family "Bacterial small subunit ribosomal RNA", at positions 524 to 776 of the family's 1533-position model. The record is from RNAcentral.